Molecule: long non-coding RNA, 2003 nt
Filed under: Olea europaea subsp. europaea
Lineage: Eukaryota; Viridiplantae; Streptophyta; Magnoliopsida; Lamiales; Oleaceae
Source: RNAcentral
CUUAAUUGUAAUAAUCGGGUAACAAAUGUUACGCACAUGAAGGAAAUAAAAAUCGAAGAGGUCCGACACAUACUUAAAGAGAGUAGGGCAAUGAAAAGGAGAGAUUACUGAAAUUCAGAAUACAAUAAUUUUCAGCUGUGUGAUGUCAAAAAAUAGUAAUUACAAGAAAUGGAUUCUACAUUUAUCCGAAGUCUUUCUCCACUUGAUGUGUCUACCACUAACUUUGUCUCACUUACAGCAUGGAGAUAUAAUCCUACAAAAUAGAGUAAAACUACAAUUGGCUAAGAAUACGGAGAGAAGAGAAACAAACAAAAUUUCAAUCGUAACACAAGGCAUUGCAACUCAAUGAAAGAUGAAACUCUCCCAAUGAAUUCCAUGCUAACAUAAGCUAAAACUGUAAAAAUCAUAUAGAAAGGGCCAUAUUUGUUUUUAGAAAGAAGAAUAUUACAAUUUUCUCCAGGCCAUUACAUGACAUUUCAUUUUCCCAAAAGAUUGUAGGGGGAAUAGGGCAUUGGUGAAUGAUUCCGUCUCUGAAUCUCUUUCAGAGUUUGAGUUUAAUUUCUUUCACAGUUCAACAAAGAUAUUUUAAAUUCUUUUGAAGCCUAUCUAACUCAAGAAAUGAAAUUCAUAACGUGUUCUCCACAGUGAGUAAUCGAUGUGGUUCAUAGUUUCUUUGUAUCGUAUUCUUUCUUUGGUAUUCAUCUCCUUGAAACUGUUUCCCCACACUUUGGGAACAGCUUCUUCAGAUUCCUAGCACAUUCAAUUAUCAAGUCCAAGGAUCUAUUCUUUAUAACCCUACCACUGGACCCUCAGAAAUAAGAAAAGUCAUGAUUCUUUGUUCUUGAAGACUAUUUAUCAGCACCAAGAACAUGCGCUAAUCUUCUUUCCUUGUUUUAUCUUGCUCUAAACAAUUAAUCUUCCCUUACUCGGCAAGAACAUAUUGUCGUCAAUAAUUUUCUGUCAUUUUCAUCAUCACUCUAUCCUGCCCAUAUUAUCCUACCAGAGCUUUGCAUAAAGUUCACUAAAAAGAUCGUCUUGAAGGUGACAUCAAUUUUAUUACCUCGUAACACUAAUAAAAAUUCAUAAUUAAUAUUUUAAUGACCAAUUAGCAUGGUUCUAUUUUUUUACUCGAGAUAUUAAUAUAAUCUUAUCACACUCUUUCAAUUAAAAGUACAUGUCAAAUAGUUCAGAGAUGCAAAAGAGAGAUCUCCAAAAAAUUUUCAAUGACUAUUAACUCUGCAAUAGAAAUUCUAUGAGCUGAAAGCAUGAAUUGAUGAAGUUACCUACUGAUUCAAAUAAGAGGUGUCAGUUUUGUUGAAAACACCUUUGACAGCCCAAAUAAUCGAACAAACAUCCACUGAAACUCAUAGUACUUAAUUUGGUGCACAAAUUGUUGUCCACUGUUUCUUUAUGUUUUAUAUUCACUCUCAAUUUACAAUUAAGCUUCAACAACUACACUGAUCAGUAUGUAACAUACAUAAAAGCGAACUCCAAUGAAACAUUAAUCAGACUAUUAGCCUAUCAUAAGACCUAAGAUCGCAGUUCAGAAGGGCCAAAAAACAGGUCGAGAUAUAAUUGUAGACCUUAGUAAAAAAAUAGCAACUUCUUUACUGAGGGAGAGAAAGAACUACUAAUUUUCCAUUGAACUUGUAUGAAGAAAAAAGUUAUGGAUUUCUUUUUUUAAGGGUGAAAUGUACUUACACUUUAGCAAUAAAAACUCAUGCCCCACUUGUUCCCCCAAUAAACAGCCCCUAAUCUUGCUAAAAAGAUGAACCUACACAAAAAUACCUGCUCAAAGGAUCCAAGUUCUAGAAUCCAAUAAAUAUUGCUCCUAGAUUUCAACUUCUACCUAAUAUGAAUGUAUUACACGAACCCAAAAGUAACCCAGUUCUAAAUACUUUCUCCUCUCGAGACUCAACAACGAUUUGUCAUUUUCACUUUCUAUACAACUAUAAUGUUGACAAGUGUAACUUCAACCAAUUUCUACGAAAAUUACAUUCACA